AUUGAACGCUGGCGGCAUGCUCUACACAUGCAAGUCGAACGGCAGCACGGGGGCAACCUUGGUGGCGAGUGGCGAACGGGUGAGGAAUGCAUCGGAACGUGUCUUUAAGUGGGGGAUAACGCAUCGAAAGGUGUGCUAAUACCGCAUAAUCUCUGAGGAGAAAAGCAGGGGAUCGUAAGACCUUGCGCUUUUGGAGCGGCCGAUGUCUGAUUAGCUUGUUGGUAAGGUAAAGGCUUACCAAGGCUUCGAUCAGUAGCUGGUCUGAGAGGACGACCAGCCACACUGGGACUGAGACACGGCCCAGACUCCUACGGGAGGCAGCAGUGGGGAAUUUUGGACAAUGGGGGCAACCCUGAUCCAGCCAUGCCGCGUGAGUGAAGAAGGCCUUCGGGUUGUAAAGCUCUUUCAGCCGGAACGAAACGGUUACGGUUAAUACCCGUGACUACUGACGGUACCGGAAGAAGAAGCACCGGCUAACUACGUGCCAGCAGCCGCGGUAAUACGUAGGGUGCGAGCGUUAAUCGGAAUUACUGGGCGUAAAGCGUGCGCAGGUGGUUUUGUAAGUCAGAUGUGAAAUCCCCGGGCUCAACCUGGGAACUG
This 600-nucleotide ribosomal RNA is filed under the name uncultured bacterium. Its description in RNAcentral is "bacterial SSU rRNA". It matches the Rfam family "Bacterial small subunit ribosomal RNA", at positions 28 to 623 of the family's 1533-position model. The record is from RNAcentral.